This is a non-coding RNA of Pelobates cultripes (western spadefoot toad), 205 nucleotides long. The record is from the annotation of a GenBank genome assembly. Lineage: Eukaryota; Metazoa; Chordata; Amphibia; Anura; Pelobatidae.
CAAGAUAACAAUAGACAAGCUAGCCACUCUUUUUUAAAGAUAAAGACAUGUGGGAGAAUGCAGAAAAUGGCAGCAAAACGAUGUCCAUAUAAAAGGUUGCAAUGCUAAAAUAAAAGCUCUCAUCAGGUGACAGUUUGUAGACCAUCCAUUGGAGCUAGAACAUAUUGUGGUAUAAAGGAAAAAGCCAACUGAUAUUUGGUAAAUG